UUAACUUUUUACGAAAGAUCUGCCGUAACCAUGGUAGUGGAAAGGGUGGAGAAUGGAGAAAUCGAUGAACCUGAGACGCUUAAUCUAUUUACAAUAAUAUAUCUACUAGUAUCCUGUUAUCAUUAACUCGAAGGCAGGAAAAAGUACUGAAACGCAUUCCCUUUAAAACAAGCAUUAUUCCAAUUAGGCAUCCUAAGCCCGACAUGUCACCAGCGAUAGCAGCUGAAUUCGCCGACUCAGAAAUCAAACGUUUUGAUAAAGAAAUGUGUAGUGCUAUAUCUGUUUGUCUACAGUUACCCAAGGAAGUGUUGUUUUUGGAACAACCAACUCCUGCAUAUUGGAUACCAAGCAAAAGAGGAUUCUCAACAAUAGGGUUCUUUGAGACCAAAUACGAGGAAG
This is a non-coding RNA of Parasteatoda tepidariorum (common house spider), 399 nucleotides long. The record is from RefSeq and is a predicted model, not a curated record. Lineage: Eukaryota; Metazoa; Arthropoda; Arachnida; Araneae; Theridiidae.